GUCGUAACAAGGUAGCCCUAGGGGAACCUGGGGCUGGAUCACCUCCUUUAAAAAGUUUCGCCGGGUCGGCGGAGUACUCACAUAAAUUACCUAUCCACAGUUAAAGCAGAUACAGGCCUGUUGCUUGAAGCAUCUGUACUGCACUUGAGCAAAUUGGGUCUGUAGCUCAGUUGGUUAGAGCGCACCCCUGAUAAGGGUGAGGUCGGAGGUUCAAAUCCUCCCAGACCCACCAGAUUGGAGUUCAGGGGCCAUAGCUCAGCUGGGAGAGCGCCUGCCUUGCACGCAGGAGGUCGGCGGUUCGAUCCCGCCUGGCUCCACCAAAUUCAUGAGUGGGAAGUGUCUAGCGAGAAGGCUAGCCACUUUGCAUUUGCGAAGUCUGCUUUUAAAAAUUAGGUUAGAUCGCUGAUAGGUGAUAUCGAAAGAUAUCCUUAUCAAUUAAGUAUCUAAGUUUCUCAAGGCUUAGAUACUGGGUAUGUUGCAUUCGUAACCAUUGAUCGUAUCCCAGAAUUUUUGGGGUUAUAUGGUCAAGUGAGUAAGCGCAUAC
Molecule: ribosomal RNA, 544 nt
Filed under: uncultured Gammaproteobacteria bacterium
Lineage: Bacteria; Pseudomonadati; Pseudomonadota; Gammaproteobacteria
Description: partial 16S ribosomal RNA
Rfam family: tRNA (bases 156-229)
Source: RNAcentral